CAGUGGUAUAUAUAUAACACCAAAAAAAUUAACUCAGAAAUAGAUAACUGUAAAAGUUUUGCUCUUUAAUGAAUUACUUACACAGAUAAUAACCCAAAUUUAAUAGAAUAUUCAUAAAAGUACUAUUGAGAAACAUACAUUUAUUAUAUAUGAGUAUAUAACCCGGAUGCGCCUUCUAAACUGCAUCCAACAAAAAUAGUCAUGAAAAUGCAAUAGAAAAACAUGUGAUGGAACUGUAUGUUCUUUUGAUCAGUGAUUACAAAAUGUUAAUUAAUUUCAAUAUUAAUAAAGUGGGGACAUAUAUGAAAUAUAAACACCAUCUUCAAAUCUCAAGAUAAUCAUAACAUAUUAAUAUACAAUUCAAGAUCAGACCAUCAGAGAAAAACACAUUCCUUAAUUAUAGGGCAAAUGCUUGUGGAGCAGGGUGUUAAACGGGUCGUGUUUGCGGUUUGGCGGGUUCAACGCGACCCGAAACCGAAAAUUUUAGAUGAACCCGAACACGACCUGAGCCCGAAAAUCGUGCCAUAA
RNAcentral lists this long non-coding RNA (528 nucleotides) under Helianthus annuus (common sunflower). RNAcentral's name for it is "sRNA HanXRQr2_Chr11g0516111". Lineage: Eukaryota; Viridiplantae; Streptophyta; Magnoliopsida; Asterales; Asteraceae. The record is from RNAcentral.